RNAcentral lists this ribosomal RNA (405 nucleotides) under uncultured bacterium. Its description in RNAcentral is "partial 16S ribosomal RNA". It matches the Rfam family "Bacterial small subunit ribosomal RNA", at positions 30 to 526 of the family's 1533-position model. The record is from RNAcentral.
AUUGAACGCUGGCGGCAGGCUUAACACAUGCAAGUCGAACGAGUGGCGGACGGGUGAGUAAUGCUUGGGAAUCUGGCUUAUGGAGGGGGAUACCGACGGGAAACUGUCGCUAAUACCGCGUACCAUAGGAUGAGCCCAAGUGGGCUUGGGGAGUUGGUUGGGUAAUGGCCUACCAAGCCGACGAUCUCUAGCUGGUCUGAGAGGAUGACCAGACACACCGUGAUUUAGACACGGCCCGGACUCCUACGGGAGGAAGUAGGUGGGAAUAUUGGGCAAUGGGGGCAACCUGACGCAGCGAUGCCGCGUUAGUUAAGAAGGCUGUCGGGUUGUAAGGUUCUUUCGGUGAGCAGCCGUUAAUCACAGAAGAAUCACCGGCUAACUACGUGCCAGCAGCCGCGGUAAUAC